AUAUCUUUCUUGGCCUCUUGGCUAAGAUCAAGUAUAGUAUUUGUUCCUUAUCAGUUUAACAUAUACAUGUGGUGAUGUACAACAUUGCAGAUAUUGAAUUAUUUUUUUAAAUUGCUAAAAAAUGUCGCAAGUUUAAGUCUUUUGGGCCCAAAAAACAUUU
RNAcentral lists this small nuclear RNA (160 nucleotides) under Oryza brachyantha (malo sina). RNAcentral describes it as "U2 spliceosomal RNA". It matches the Rfam family "U2 spliceosomal RNA". From Rfam's summary of the family: U2 is a small nuclear RNA (snRNA) component of the spliceosome (involved in pre-mRNA splicing). Complementary binding between U2 snRNA (in an area lying towards the 5' end but 3' to hairpin I) and the branchpoint sequence (BPS) of the intron results the bulging out of an unpaired adenosine, on the BPS, which initiates a nucleophilic attack at the intronic 5' splice site, thus starting the first of two transesterification reactions that mediate splicing. Lineage: Eukaryota; Viridiplantae; Streptophyta; Magnoliopsida; Poales; Poaceae. The record is from Rfam by way of RNAcentral.